Molecule: transfer RNA, 75 nt
Filed under: Plocamium cartilagineum
Lineage: Eukaryota; Rhodophyta; Florideophyceae; Plocamiales; Plocamiaceae
Description: tRNA-Gln
Rfam family: tRNA
About the family: Transfer RNA (tRNA) molecules are approximately 80 nucleotides in length. Their secondary structure includes four short double-helical elements and three loops (D, anti-codon, and T loops).
Source: RNAcentral
UGGUGUAUCGCCAAAUUUUGGUAAGGCAUUAGCUUUUGAUGCUAUCAUUUAAAGGUUCGAAUCCUUUUACACCAG